Molecule: non-coding RNA, 178 nt
Filed under: human gut metagenome
Source: RNAcentral
ACCAAACAGGUGCCUCUUUGUUAAAAGAGGAGAAUAGGGAAGAUCGGACAGAAGCAAUUCUGAAACGACGCGGUCGCGCCACUGUAAUCGGGGAGAUGUUUUGGCUGAUGCCACCGGAAAACCGGGAAGGCGUCAAAACAUUGAUGAGCCGUUAGCCAGGAGACCUGCCUGUUAUGGC